RNAcentral lists this long non-coding RNA (1307 nucleotides) under Gallus gallus (chicken). RNAcentral's name for it is "long non-coding RNA NONGGAT008555". The record is from RNAcentral. Lineage: Eukaryota; Metazoa; Chordata; Aves; Galliformes; Phasianidae.
AACUGAAUAAGUGCAGUUAGUAUCAUUUUACCAAUAACUUCAUAAUUUGAACUGUUGAUAUGGCAGUAGAAUAGGCACUUUCUGAGUAGCUGCAGUGUGUUGGUGUGUUGGGCUGUAGAGUUUUGCACUUCUGCCUUAAAGAAUCUCAAAAGAGGGCUCCCAAAACUUCAAACUGGGUAGCUUUCUCUGGAGUGGUGGGAUAAACAGAUGUCAGAUCAAUCUUGAGAUUUUGAUAGAAUUAGUAUUGUAAGUCAGGAGUUCGCCAUUUCAUUGAUACAGUCUGUGUGGCCCUUAUUAGUGAAUUUAUCACGGUCAAAAAUUACACUUCAAACCUUCUUUAAUAAGGCUCUGUGGCAACUUAACUGGGAGCUUUCAAGUUGUUAAAGAUUUAAAUUAUAACUUCAUCAGGCUUUUGUAGCUGUUUUAAAUUAAUAUAAUGAGAAAGUGCUUACCUGAUUCUCUUGCUGUCAGUAAUGGGGUCCCAGGAGAAAGUUAAUCUUUUAUUCUUGACUUAGAGAUCUUCUAACUGGGAUAAUGCAGUGCCAAAAGUCCUUCUGCAGAAAGAUCCUGAAAGGUUCCUACUGGCCUGUAACUGAGUUAUGUGAAGUAGCAGUUGUGAAGCUUUUCUCUUCCUCCCUCUCUUUCUUCCUGCCUCAAAAUCCUUUUCUCUGCUCAGAUACAACAUGCUCCUCUGCACUUGAGUCCCUUCACACAGGUACUAAAGGAAUUUACCAUCAACUGGUUUCAGUAGCACACAGCUGCAAAAUAGCAGGAGGAGGCAACCAAGAAUGUGCAGGAGCAGCGCAACUUUUGUACACUGUGAGUGCCUUCUGUUAGCAAGUAUGUCUGUGUAAUGCAUAACUCUCAGUAUGUACUUAGUCACCUAAAAUUAAGUUACCUCACCAAGAAGAGCAGCUUAAUUAGCAAUUGUACCACCCAGCUGGGCUUGUGCUGUUGACCUCCGGCAAGGAGACAGCAGACUUCUCUGCAGGCAUAGCUUCAUUGGCCUUCUCAACAGUUCUGCACUGCAGAGCAGAUCCUUGCUACAGACAUUAGCUAAAUACAUUCAAAUAUUUGCUGUCUGCUGUGGAUACUUAACAUGCUUAUCUGAAAGGUAAGAGAUGCUAACGCACAAGCCAGUAAGACAUGUCAGUCAUUCUGUAGAUCGUUUCAGUCCUGAGCCCCCCCCACCUGGUUACUGCUCUGAAACAUAAAAAGGCUAUAAUGAUUAAAACAGAAGGCUAAUAAUGCAGCUUCCUUAUUCAUUUUCAGUUAGCGACCAAAACACAAAUUUAUUUGGGAAAAAU